GGGCUGAUUUUGAUUCGAUACUCUGAUCAAAAUCAGAUGAAAAAUAUACAAAAGAUAUCAAAUAAAAUCAAGGUUUAAUCACAUCAAAACUUUUGAUUCAAAAUUAGAUAAAAAAUCAAAAAAAAUUUAAAAUUAGACUAUGCGAUUAUGACAUACAAGCCUGGCUCUGAUACCAAUUAAAGUAAAAAUUCAUCCGAUUACAUCGAAUGCC
Molecule: long non-coding RNA, 211 nt
Filed under: Elaeis guineensis (African oil palm)
Lineage: Eukaryota; Viridiplantae; Streptophyta; Magnoliopsida; Arecales; Arecaceae
Description: long non-coding RNA (EGUI_LNC028478)
Source: RNAcentral